AGUGAACGCUGGCGGUAGGCCUAACACAUGCAAGUCGAACGGCAGCACAGUAAGAGCUUGCUCUUACGGGUGGCGAGUGGCGGACGGGUGAGGAAUACAUCGGAAUCUACUUUUUCGUGGGGGAUAACGUAGGGAAACUUACGCUAAUACCGCAUACGACCUACGGGUGAAAGCAAGGGAUCUUCGGACCUUGCGCGAUUGUAUGAGCCGAUGUCGGAUUAGCUAGUUGGCGGGGUAAAGGCACACCAAGGCGACGAUCCGUAGCUGGUCUGAGAGGAUGAUCAGCCACACUGGAACUGAGACACGGUCCAGACUCCUACGGGAGGCAGCAGUGGGGAAUAUUGGGCAAUGGGCGCAAGCCUGAUCCAGCCAUACCGCGUGAGUGAAGAAGGCCUUCGGGUUGUAAAGCCCUUUUGUUGGGAAAGAAAAGCAGCAGGUUAAUCCCCCGCUGUUCUGACGGUACCCAAAGAAUAAGCACCGGCUAACUUCGUG
RNAcentral lists this ribosomal RNA (492 nucleotides) under uncultured bacterium. RNAcentral's name for it is "partial 16S ribosomal RNA". It matches the Rfam family "Bacterial small subunit ribosomal RNA", at positions 29 to 507 of the family's 1533-position model. The record is from RNAcentral.